AUUGAACGCUGGCGGCAGGCCUAACACAUGCAAGUCGAGCGGAUGAAGGGAGCUUGCUCCUGGAUUCAGCGGCGGACGGGUGAGUAAUGCCUAGGAAUCUGCCUGGUAGUGGGGGAUAACGUCCGGAAACGGGCGCUAAUACCGCAUACGUCCUGAGGGAGAAAGUGGGGGAUCUUCGGACCUCACGCUAUCAGAUGAGCCUAGGUCGGAUUAGCUAGUUGUUGGGGUAAAGGCCUACCAAGGCGACGAUCCGUAACUGGUCUGAGAGGAUGAUCAGUCACACUGGAACUGAGACACGGUCCAGACUCCUACGGGAGGCAGCAGUGGGGAAUAUUGGACAAUGGGCGAAAGCCUGAUCCAGCCAUGCCGCGUGUGUGAAGAAGGUCUUCGGAUUGUAAAGCACUUUAAGUUGGGAGGAAGGGCAGUAAGUUAAUACCUUGCUGUUUUGACGGUACCUACAGAAUAAGCACCGGCUAACUUCGUG
RNAcentral lists this ribosomal RNA (484 nucleotides) under uncultured bacterium. Its description in RNAcentral is "partial 16S ribosomal RNA". It matches the Rfam family "Bacterial small subunit ribosomal RNA", at positions 30 to 507 of the family's 1533-position model. The record is from RNAcentral.